RNAcentral lists this long non-coding RNA (243 nucleotides) under Elaeis guineensis (African oil palm). RNAcentral describes it as "long non-coding RNA (EGUI_LNC046458)". The record is from RNAcentral. Lineage: Eukaryota; Viridiplantae; Streptophyta; Magnoliopsida; Arecales; Arecaceae.
AGCUGUGAUGGCUCCAGUCUCAAAAAGAUAUGAACUAUAAUCUCUAAAAAAAAUAACUAUGUAUCAUAUUGUAUUAACUAUGUACCAGAAUAAAAUAACUAUGUAUCAUAUUUAUUUAACUGUAUAUCAUGAUACCUUAAUUUCGUACCAUAUUUAUAAAAAUAACAUGCAUGGUUUAUGACUAAAAAAAAUGAGCAAUAUUAGUCUGAAACAUAAAUCAGACAAAAGAUAUUUGGCUACAUC